UUUUAUUUUUAAGAUAAAGUAAUCUCUACAGCCAGUGUGGGUCUCAAACUUAGAACCCUGAGACCAGGAGUCCUACUCCACUGACUGAGCCAGACAGGUGCCCCUAGACUACACUUUUGUUUUCUUUUUUAAACUAUUGAGUUUUGAGAGUUCUUUAUAUAUUCUAGAUAUGAGUCUUUGUCAGAUACAUGAUUUGCAAUAUUUUUUCUCAUUCUGCAGCUUAUCCUUUCAUCCUCUUAAUUGAAGAGACUCCUUGUAUUUUUUUAAGUUUUUAUUUAUUUCCUAAUCUCUACACCCCAGGUGAUGCUUUAACUAUGACCCCAAGUUCAAGAGUUGCAUGUUCAGGGCACCUGGCCAGUCAGGUACCCCUUCAGUAUAUUAAUAUUUACCUUUAUAUAUUCUGAUUUGGGGAGCAUUUUUAAGAACCUUUUUCAGUCUUACGUCCCCAAAAUUUUCUUCAGUGUUUUCUUCUAAAAGUUUUGUAGUCUUAUGUUUUUACAACUUAAAAUCUGUAAUCUAUUUUUAGUUAACUUUUAUUUGAGGUAGGAAACUUAAGUCUAGGUGUAUUUUUUCCCCUAUGAAUAUCCAGUUCCUCCAUCAUUUUUGAAGACUAUUGUUCCUGCAUUGAAUCAGUUUUGCACCUUUAUCAAAAAUCAGUUGGUGUAUAUCAGCAAUGGACAAUUGGAAUUUGAAAUUAAAAACACAAUACCAUUAGGGUGCCUGGGUGUCUCAGUCAGGUGAGCAUCUGACUCUUGGUUUCGGCUCAGGUCGGGAAUCUCAGGUUCCUGAGAUUGAGCCCCACAUAGGGCUCCACACUCAGUGGGAAGUCUGCUUCUCCUUUCCUCUGCUCCUCCCCCUGCUCAUGUUCUCUCUCUCUCUCCCUCUCAAAUAAAAAUGAAUAAAUCUUUUCUUAAAAUGACACACAAUACCAUUUACAUUACCGCUGGAAGGAAGGAAAGUAAAUAGGUCUAGGUGUAAAUCGUACAAAAUAUGUACAAGAUCUAUAUGAGGAGGGGCUUCUGGGUGGCCCAGUUGGCUAAGCCUCUGACUCUUGGUUUCAUCUAAGGUCAUGAUCCCAGGGUCCUGAGAUCGAGCCCAGCCUCGGACUCCCAGCUUGUCAGGAGGCUCGCUUUUCCCUCUCCCACUCCCCCACUUGUGUUCCUGCUCUCAUGGUCUCUCUCUCUGCCAAGUAAAUAUGUAAAAUCUUUUUAAAAAUCUUCAGGCUUCCUGCUCGGCAGGGAGCCUGCUUUUCCUUCUCUCUUUGCCUGCCUCUCUGCCUACUUGUGAUCUCUCUCUCUGUGUCAAAUAAAUAAAAAUAAAAUCUUAAAAAAAAAAAAAAAAUGGUGCACCUGGGUGGCUCAGGGGGAUAAAGCCUCUGUCUUCGGCUCAGGUCAUGAUCCCAGGGUCCUGGGAUCAAGCCCCACAUCAGGCUCUCUGCUCAGCAAGGAGCCUGUUUCCCUUCCUCUCUCUCUGCCUGCUUCUCUGCCUACUUGUGAUCUCUGUCUGUCAAAUAAAGAAAAUUAAAAAAAAAAAAAAAAGAAAGAAAGAAAGACGUGGUUAAGAGGAUAAAAAGAGGGGUGCCUGCGUGGCUUAGUGGGUUAAGCAUCUGCCUUUGGCUCAGGCCAUGAUCUCAGGGUCCUGGGAUCGAGCCCUGUAUCAGGUUCUCUGCUUAGCAGGGAGCUUACUUCCUCCCCUCUCUCUGCCUACUUGUGAUAUCUCUCUCUCUCUGUCAAAUAAAAUUUUUUUUUAAAAAGUGAGAAUAAAAAGACAAGACACAAACUGGAAGAAAAUAUUUGUGGAACACAUACCUGAUAAAGGACUGGGCGGUGGACGGAAUGUCGUGUCCCUACCCCAAAUUUAUUAUGUGGAAAUCUUUACCCCAGAUGUCAGGAUAUAAAAGAUGGGGCCUUUGGUAAUGAGGUCUGUGGCUGGGCCUUCAUCAGGGGGAUUAGCACCCUUAUAAAAGAGACACAAUGAGAAGAUGACAUAGGCUGCAGCCCAUAAGAGGGCUCUUCCUGGAAACCAGCCACGGGGGCACCCUGACCUCAGACUUCAGCUUCCAGAACUGUGAGAAACAAAUUUCUGUUGUGUAUCAUGCCACCCAAUGUGUGAUAUUUUGUUGUAAGAGCCUAAAUUGACUAAGACUGAUAUCCAAAAUAUACAAAGAACUCUUAAAAACUCAAUAAUGAGGAAACAAAUAUGGUAAAGAUCUAAGCAGACUCAUUACCAGAGAAGAUGUACAAAUGGCAGAUAAAGACAUGAAAAAAUGUUCAACAGCAUCGUAUGUUAUUAGGGAAAUGCAAAUUAAGACAGUAGAGAUAUGGGAGCCUGGGUGGCUCGGUGACUUAAGCCUCUGCCUUUGGCUCAGGUCAUGAUCUCAGGGUCCUGGGAUCGAGCCCCGCAUCGGGCUCUCUGCUCAGCAGGGAGCCUGCUUCCUCCUCGCUCUCUCUCUGCCUGCCUUGUGAUCUCUCUCUGUCAAAUAAAUAAAUAAAAUCUUAAAAAAUUUUAAAAAUUUAAACAGUAGAGAUACCAUUGCACAUCUACUGGAAUGGCUGAAAUCCAAACACAGACAACACUAAAUGGUGACAAUAUGGAGAAAUAGGAGUUCUCACUUGUUGAUGGCAGGAACGUAAUAAAAUGGUACAGCCACCUGAAAGACAGUCUGGCAGCUUCUUUAAAAAUGAAACAGGGACAACUAUCUGGCUCAGGUGGUGGAGCGUGUGACUCUGGAUCUCAAGAGUUGUGAGUUUGAUCCCCACACUGGCUGUAGAGUUUACUUAAAGACAAAAUCUUUAAAGAAAGAAACAUCCUUACCAUAAAGUGCCUAACUUGUAAUUGUGGAUGUUUCGAUGCUCCUCUCAGUCCUGUUGGCUGCACAUCUUUGCGGUUCUGUUGUGCAUAUUCAUUUAGAACUGUCUUUUGGUGGGCUGAUAUGUAUGUUCUGUCAUUACAUUAAGUCCUUCUCAGGCCCCUGACAGGUUUCUUUUGAAGUGUAUUUUAUCUGCUAUUAAUAUAGCCAUUUCUGAUUUCUUUUGAUUGAUGUUUCCAUGGUGUAUCUUUUCUAUCCAUUUAAUGUCACCCUAUUGAUGUCAUUACAUGUGAAGUGAGUUUCUUAUAAACAGCAGGUAAGGUCCUUUUUUAUAUUUUUUUAAGAUUUUAUUUAUUUGACAGACAAAGAUCACAAGUAGGCAGAGAGAGAGGAGGAAGCAGGCUCCCCGCUGAGCAGAGAGCCCGAUGUGUGGCUCGAUCCCAGGACCCCGGGAUCAUGACCUGAGCUGAAGGCAGAGGCUUUAACCCACUGAGCCACCCAGGCACCCCAAGGUCCUUUUUAAAAUCCACUCUGCCAAUCUUUGCCUUUUAAUUGGUGUAUUUAGAGUGUUUCCAUUUAGUAUACAUUUUUACUCUUCCCAUAGUUUUUCUUUUCUGGUGUUCCUAAUUUUUUUCUAUCAUUUUCUUUUUGUUUUAGGAACUUCCUUGAGCUAUUCUUUUAGGUAUGUUCAGCUUGUAGCAAAUUUUCUUGGUUUUCAUUUACCUAUGAAUGUCUUGAUUUCAGUUUCUUUCUUGAAGUCUGUCUAUGCUAGAUAGGCAGUUCUGGGUUGACUGUUUUCUCUGCCAGUACCUGAAAAUUGUGCCACGUCCUGCCAGUGCUUGUGAUUUCUGAACAUAGACUAGCUCUCCUUUGAAUGUUCUAACGGCACAGGGAGGGUGGUGUCACUGUUCUCUGCUUUUGUUUUUAACUUUUUAUUUCUGUUUUUCAAAUAUUUUAGUUAUUUAUUGGAGACAGAGAGAGGGAGAGAGAAUCUAAGUAGGCUCCAUGCCCAGUGCAGAGCCUGAUGUGGGGCUCAAUGCCAUGACCCUGAGAUCACAACCUGAGCUAAAACCAAGACAGCCCACUCAGGUGCCCCUCAAAUACUUUUUUUUAGCUCUUUCUCUUUUCCUCCUGGGACUCCUGUGACACACAGGUUAGAUCUUUUGUUAUAGUCCCUGAGGCUUUGUUGCUGGUUCUUUCCAUCCUGUUUUCUCCGUGUUGUUCAUAUUAGGUAAUUUCUGUUCUUCAGGUUCACUCAUUCUCUCUGUUGUCUCCAUGGUUCCGGUGAGCCUGUCCAGUGAGGUUUUCCUUUUGUUUGCUCAGUUUUGCCAUUGAAAAUUUUGUUUACUUUUUUUUUUAAUAUGUUUUUAAAUAUUUUUAAGGUUUAAAAAGUGUUUAAAGUUUGUAGUUCCUAGUAGGAAAACAUUAUCUGAAUGAAUACCCUAAUGGCAAACCAUUGUAGAAUGUUUCAGUUGCAUGGGGAGCAGAGGGGUAGGGAUUCUCUUCACAGCACCCCAGCUUUCUUCAUGAGAAGGUCAGAGGUACACUGGUUUGUAUUAUUGCGACAUCCAUUAGGUGAUCGAAGUUGCUUUUCCUUCAGCAAAGGCUUUAUUUGUCAGAAGGGCAUUAUGCUUGACCUCCAAAUUUGGCUGACAAUUUACUGAUGAGAUUCAUAACCUUUGGGUUGCUCUGAUAUUUUGACAUAUUCGCUGGGUUCUGGGCCACAUCCUGGAAGGCCACCAUAACUUCUGGAUCCUGCAUGGCUGUAAGAACUUCCGGAUCACUAAGAAUUUCAUUGAGCCCAGGCGUUCCUGCCAUUCCAGGCAUCCCCCAGGAAAGCCACCUGGGAAAGAGCCAUACUGAGAGCCUGCUUCCUCCUCUCUCUCUCUUUGCCUGCCUCUCUGCCUACUUGUGAUCUGUCUGUCAAAUAAAUAAAUUAAAAAAUCUUUAAAAAAAAAAAAAAGUUUUGUGUUAUACUGAUCCUUUUUAUGUGACAUUAAAAAAAAAAAAAUCUUAUUUUUAAGUGCUCUUUACACCCAGUGUAGGGCUGAAACUCACAACCUAGAGGUCAAGAGUUGCACAUUUUACCAUUUCAGCCAGCCAGGCAUGCCUUAUAUGACAUUUUGUUAAUUUGUUUCAUGUGUAUGCUUAGCACUUGGUGAGUCUUAACCCUCUGGAUUGGACUUUUAAUUUCUUAUUUUUUUUUUAAGAUUUUAUUUAUUUAUUUGACAGACAGACAUCACAAGUAGGCAGAGAGGCAGGCAGAGAGAGGGGAGGAAGCAGGCUCCCUGCUGAGCAGAGAGCCCGAUGGGAGUCUCUAUCCCAGGACCCUGGGAUCAUGACCUGAGCCAAAGGCAGAGGCUUUAACCCACUGAGCCACCUAGGCACCCUGGAUUGGACUUUGAAAUGUCUUCUUUUCUCCUAGUCUCUAUUUCUGUCUUAAUUUUUCCCCUACUUUUUGAGCUACUGGUUUUUAGAAAGUAAGUGAAAGAUUGUUGCGUCACCCUUCACCUGUGGUUGCCCUGUGGCCCAGCCACAGCUCUCCUGUGUUGUGUAGUCCGCCAGAGUCCACACUCUGCCCUGGAGAUACCCUGCUUCCCAUGCUGUCUCCACAGAGUAGUACAGCUAGACCACAGAUAUCCUGACUCACCUCCCUUCUUCCAUACUGGCUCCAAGGGACUGUCCGUUCCAACUUCAACCCCCGUCGGGCUGGUUAGAAACGCGGGUGCCUGGCACGCAGAUGCGUGAGACCGGAAGAGCCCUGCAGGCUUAUUACUUACUCUUCCGCUCAGCAGGGAUCUGUGUCCUACUGUCCUACACACAAUCCAGAAAGUUUCUGCCCCCAGUGUACAACUCAGGUGAAGAAACACUUCCUUUAUGAUGGAUAAGUUUCUGGACAAGAAUUAGGUAUGAAGUUUCACAUUUUGACAGAAAGCUUCUAGUUGAGGGUCCCCAUCUGCUGUAAGCCCUUCGUAACUCUUGGGUGACAGGGGGAUGGCUUACAUGGAAGAGAUUCACUUCACCUCAUAGGAUAUUCAGCCACUUUGAGUUCCAAGAGACGGAGCUGACUUUCCUAGUACACAAAACAACCAGAGAUGGAGACGGGAAUGCAUCCCCACAUAUAAGAAAGAACCAAAAAUGACCUAAAAAAAAGGCGAACGGCGAGCAGCGGCGACGGCACGGAGACGCGCAGUGGAGAUUUCUGGUUUCGGAGCCCAGCGGCCGGAUGGGUGAAAUCCUCCCUGCAGCGGAUCCUCAACAGCCACUGAUUGGCCAGAGAGAAGGAGGGGGACAAAGCCAGCACCGCCGUCCACGCCGCCCGCGCCAUGCAUAUAUGCCUAUAUAUAUGCCUAUAUAUAUAUAGCCGUGUUUGCCUAUAUAUAUAUAUAUAUAUAUAUAUAUAUAUAAUACUUUAUAUAUAUGUAUAUGCACAUAUAAUAUUUUAUUUAUUUGACACAGAGAGAGAGAGAUCACAGGAGGCAGAGAGGCAGGCAAAGAGAGAGGGGGAAGCAGGGAAGCAGGCUCCCUGCUGAGCAGAGAGCCCAGUGCGGGGCUUGAUCCCAGCACCCUGAGAUCAUGACCUGAACCAAAGGCAGAGGGUUAACCCACUGAGCCACCCAGGUGCCCCAGUACUUCCCUUUUAAAGAUGACUUAGGCCCAGCCUCACUUCUGCUGCGUCACAGGAACCUGGUACAUGAGAGAACCCAGGAAGUGUUUGUUUAGUGAAUUGUAAGAAGAGGCCUACUUUUCUUUCAUGAAGGCUGACCCACCUUGUAAUACUUUUCACUCAACACAUUAUUCACGGUCUCAUUAGCCUGAGGAUGGAUCCAGUUUGUAAGGAAAUCCGCUUGAUUGAGAGGUGACAUAGCGUUAACUUUACCAGAUUCAGAUAACUUUACAAGAUUCAUUGGUAUUGAGUGUAUUUAUAGACUCCUAUGGCCAUCCCAACCACCUGAUUUUAGAACAUUUCUAUCACCCUAAAAAGCAAUCUGUCGUUGGCCAUUACUCGCCAUCCUUCCCCCACCUCCAGCACUUCUGCCUAUGUAGGCUUCCCUGUCCUGGCUCACUUAUGUGAUAGAGCUAUCAAGUCCACCUGCCUUUACCUAGCAUCCCCUGUUACAGACCAUAGCUAGCAUGUAGCAAUACUUCGUCCCUCUUGCGGGAUAAUGGUCCCUUGUGUGGGUAUACGACAUUUGAUUCAUUCGCCAGUCAGUGGACAUUUAGGUUGUUUCCACUUGGGGGCUUGUGAUAAUACUGCUGUAGACAUCCAGGUACAAAUUUUUGUGUGGAUAUAUAUUAAAAUUUCUGUGGGGUAGAUACCCAGGAGUGGGAUUGCUGGGCCACGUGGUGACUGUGUUUACCAUUUCAAGAAACAGCCAGACUUGUCUGCAGUAUUUUACAUUCCUGCUAGCAAUUGUAACAAAGCAGUGUGUGAGCAUUACGAUUUUUCCACAUCCUCGCCAACACUUCUUAUGUCUUUCUUUCUGGGUAUAACCAUUCUAGUGGGUAUGAGGUAGUAUUUCACUGUAGUGUAUCUUCUUUUCACUUGGGUUAUGCCUUGUCAUGGAGUGGUAAGACUUUUAAUUAUUUUAGUUAGGAGUCUAUACCAGAUAUGUGACUUGCAUAUGUUUUCUCCCAGUCUGUGGGUUGUCUUUUCAUUUUAAAUUUUAGUGAAGUCCAAUUUAUUAAUUUUUUUAAAGCACAUGCACUUUUGUUGUCAUGCCAUAUCUUUUAAAAAAUCACUGUCUAGCACAAGGUCACAGGCAGGCAGAGGGAGAAGCAAACUCCUCACUGAGCAGGGAGCCCAGUGUGGGACUCGAUCCCAGACCCUGUGAUCAUGACCUGAGCCAAAGACAGAUGCUUCACUGACUAAGCCACCCAGGCGCCUCCUACGAAUGUUUGCUAAUCAUAAUUGGGAUUAUUAGACCAGGAUUACUUUUGAGCUUGCAGAUCUGGCUUUAAGAUCCACUUGUAUUCUUAAGUUAAAAUAUGUUUUACCAUGUGAUACUUGCAUAACCACAGAUUUACAUAUCACUGAAACAUGGUAGGAUCUAAAAAUAUUGCUCCAUGUAUUGAAAUAAUUGAGUUCUUAAAAACAUGAAGGCCAUGCAAGGGCGCCUGGGUGUCUCAGUUGGUUACAUGUCUGACUCUUGGUUUCAGCUCAGGUCAUUAUCUGGGGGUCAUGAAAUUGAGUCUCAUCUCCGGCUUUGUGGUCAGUGGUGGGUCUACUUGUCUCUCUCCCUCUGCUCCUCACUACCUCCCCACCAUAAGCACGCAUGCUUGCGCUUACCUCUCUCUCUCAAAUAAAUCAAUAAAUAAAAAUCUUUGAAAAACUCAUACACAAAAGCCACGCAGAGGACAAAGAAUAGCCUUUUCAACAAAGUGCUGGAACAAUCAGAUAUCCGUGUGCAAGGGGUGCCUGGGUGGCUUAGUCAGUUAAGCAUCUGCCUUCGGCUCAGGACAUGAUCCCAGAGUCUUGGGAUCAAGCCCUGCAUUGGCUGAGGUAGGGGAGGUUGUCCCUGCUCAGCAGGGAGUCUGCUUCUCCCUCUGCCCCUCACCCACCCCACUUGUGUACUCUCUGUCUUUCAAGUAAGUAAAAUCUUUUUUUUUUUUUCUUUAAAGAUCUUGUUUAUUUAUUUGACAGAUCACAAGUGGCAGAGGUUGGUGGUUGGUGGGUGGGUAGCAGGCUUCCUUCUGAGCAGAGCAGAGAGGCUGAUGCGGGGCUUGAUUCCAGAACUGGGAUCAUGACCUGAGCCGAAGGCAGAGGCUUUAACCCACUGAACCACCCAGGUGCCCAGUUAAUAAAAUCUUUAAUAAAGAAAAGAUGGGGCGCCUGCGUGGCUCAUUUGUUAAGCGUUGGCCUUCAGCUCAGGUCAUGAUCCCAGCACCCUGGGAUCGAGCCCCACAUCGGGCUCCCUACUCUACAGGAAGCCUGCUUCUCCCUCUCCCACUUCCCCUGCUUGUAUUCCCUCUCUCACUGUCUCUCUCUCUCUGUCAAAUAAAUAAAUAAAAUCUUUAAAAAAAAAAGUCAUAUGCAAGAAAAAUCACCUUUAACACACACUUAUUACCACACGUAAAAAUUAACUCAAAAUGGAUCAAAGAUCAGUGACAACUCACAGCUGUAAAAUUCCAGGAAGGAAACAGGAGAGAAAUGUUUCCUACCAUGGAUUAAGUGAAGAUUGCUUAGGUGUGACACCAAAAGCACAAUCUUUUAGAGCAAAAAGAUAAAUUGAACUGCUCUUCACAAGAUGCCACUGAGUGAACACAAGGCCAAAACUACACUGACUAGGAAAAAAUACUUACAAAGUGUAUAUGUGGUCAAGGAUUUAUAUCUGGAACGUAGAAUGGAUUCUCAAAACUCAGCAACUGAAGAAUAUUAAAAAUUGGCUGAACACUGCACAGACCCUUCCCUGUCAUGAGUAUACAGGCAGCAGAUAGACCUGAAAAUGUGCUCGGCCUCAUUAGCCCUCAGGGAGAUGCUAGUGAGAUCCCACUACAAACCUUAGAAUAACUAUCUAAAAUGAAAACGACUAUACCAAGUAUUGGCAAGGAGGGGAAUGUCAACUGGCACAGCUAGUCUGGAAAACAGUUUGUUGGUGUUUUUAAAUUUCAGGCUACUACUGUGGUAGGAUGUAGCCAUACUGCUCUGCAUCCCACACUUAGCAAGGGAAACACACCAAGACUGGUACAUGAGUGCUCCAGAACUGGAAACCAAAUGGUGAUCAGCAGAGCAAUGGAAGAAUAAAUCGAGGCAUAGCUGCCCAGGUCAAUACUCCCCAACCAUAAAGGAAGAAUCAAGUACUAAGGCACGUAAGAACUUAGGGGAACCUGAAAACAGUUCUGUAUCUAGAGUACAGUACAGAGUACAUAGAGUGUGCUUACACAUCUAUAAAAUUCUAGAAAAUAUGAACUAACCUGUAGUGAUAUAACCAAUGAGUGGCUGCCUGGGGACUGAGGGUGUCAGGGAAGAGCAGCAGGGAAAGGCCACAAUGCAGUCCUCAGUAAGUUUUUAAAUUGCAGAGGUUUCCUGAGACCUGAGUGUGUGGGGUCCUUCGCCCUAUAGGGUAAGAGGGCGCUCAGGCCUGUGGGAUAGCACUCUAUCAUCAUGCUGCAGGGGUUAUGCAAUCAACUUUCCUUUUCUUCCUUACUUCCAAGUAGUAUAUCCUAGCAUCUCAAGAGAAAGUCCAAUAUUGUGUUGAACAUCAAAAGAUCACUGAAUUAAGUAUUUAGCUUCCCCAAGGGAACUGAAGAACAAAAGUAACAGAAUUAGAAUUUCAGCUAGAAAGAACUCUACCUCUUUAUGGAAUAAAUUAAUGGUUAAGUCUGAGUGUGUUCAUUAGAAAACACGAGACCCAUUAUUUAUAGGUGUACUUGUGCGUGAACAAGGGUCUUAUCAUAGUGAGCUACGUGAAGCCUCUCUGGAAUGGUUGAGGGCCUCUUCACGGAGGAAUCAGGAAUGUACCUAAUGAACUUCAGUGUCAGGCAGAGUUUGGAGCUUGCUCUCUGCUCCUGCUACCAAGAGUCUCGUGAGGACAAACAAGGGCAAGAAUUUCUUCUGGGGGACUCUGGGAAGGCUUCCUGGAGGAAGCAUUGUUUGAGAAUCCCACUAUGUGUCUGAGGAAGAAAGUAUUUUGGAGAAAGGAACCACUGAGAGCAAAGAGAAGAAGGCUUGAGGCUUCUAGGUUGUUUAAGGAAUGGAGAGAGAGGUCUGGUCGGUGGGGUGUGGGAGUUGGGGAGACUGAAAGAGAGGGAACUAGGAUGGGAGGGUCGGGUCCUUUAGGGCCUUCCUCCUGUGGUGAGAGAUACAGGCUUGGUUCUGCCACAGCAAGUGGUCGGCAGGUGUUUUAGAAGAUAACCCUAGGGGCAUUGCAGUGGGUCCCAGAGAGGGGAAGUUCAGAGAUGAGGCCAGUCAGAGAUUGUGACAUUUGGCCCCUGAGGAUAGGGUAAUGGGAGGUCCCCCUGCCGGAAUCCCAGGCUCCCGUGGCGGGUCCUCAUCUGAGCCAGGGAACCCUGAUGGCUCACGGGUUUGGGCAGAAACAUGGGCUGGACUUUUUUGAAGGAUAUACUCUUUUGAAGGAGGAAUUUUAAUUUUAAUAAAGUCUAAUUUAUCAAUUUUUUCUUUUUAAAAAGUCGUCUUCCCACAUCUCAUGUUAAUUAUAUUUUUGUAAAGAUUAUAUUUAAUUUAUUGAAGACUUCACCCUCCCAUCAU
This is a long non-coding RNA of Mustela lutreola (European mink), 11018 nucleotides long. RefSeq lists it as uncharacterized. Lineage: Eukaryota; Metazoa; Chordata; Mammalia; Carnivora; Mustelidae. The transcript is spliced from 3 exons. The record is from RefSeq and is a predicted model, not a curated record.